Molecule: RNA transcript, 730 nt
Organism: Leopardus geoffroyi (Geoffroy's cat)
Lineage: Eukaryota; Metazoa; Chordata; Mammalia; Carnivora; Felidae
Gene name: vegetative cell wall protein gp1-like
Exons: 2
Source: RefSeq, a predicted model, not a curated record
CCCCCCGAGCCCUUAGUAACGCUCAACUCUCGCGAAUCCACCAAGAGCUCGGGAAAAGUAACGCCUCUUCCUCCCAGCCCGGGAAACUGUACGUAUUAUACUUUGACGUCGCGAGUCCCGGCUGCGCAGUCGCAGUUCAGAACCGCUGUCUCGGCCUACCUUCACUCAACCCCGGAAAUAACGUACGGGUUUUCGGGCUCCAAGUCGGAAGUUGAUUAGAAAGUCGGCUGACUCCGUCACCUCUAGGGCACUGGGUUCGGUUCCAUGGACUCCCGGAAUAAAAUGCACAUGGGGAAUCUCUGCACUCUGCGCCCACUUUGAGGACUCCUCUGGAGUUCUGCUUCACUUACAGGACCACCCACCGUGCUGUACUUUGAAAGACUCUCAGCAGCUACCUCAUCCAGGAUGAGCCAAUCCAAUGUUGUGAGACUCUGGAAUGGGGACACGGAGAUGGUAGACCAGCAGGUCACCUGAAGAGAAAACUUGUGAACUUGGGAGUUGUGCUCCUGGAAGCAGGAAAAGCUUGUUUUCCGAGAGAGAAGCAGCAGCAGCAGAUAACCAUGACCUGGGAAGACACGCAGAUUAUGAAACAGUUGCCUACGUUCCUGAUGGCAUUCCAGUCCUUGUCCCAGUGUCUCUUUAGGCCCAGCUGUUUGGCCUUUAUGAGAUGACCAUACCUAGUCCUUUUAAUUAAUUGCCUUAUUAUGAUUAAACUAGCUGUGAGAGCGUC